UAGGGAAUCUUCGGCAAUGGACGGAAGUCUGACCGAGCAACGCCGCGUGAGUGAAGAAGGUUUUCGGAUCGUAAAGCUCUGUUGUAAGAGAAGAACGAGUGUGAGAGUGGAAAGUUCACACUGUGACGGUAUCUUACCAAAAAGGGACGGCUAACUACGUGCCAGCAGCCGCGGUAAUACGUAGGUCCCGAGCGUUAUCCGGAUUUAUUGGGCGUAAAGCGAGCGCAGGCGGUUAGAUAAGUCUGAAGUUAAAGGCUGUGGCUUAACCAUAGUACGCUUUGGAAACUGUUUAACUUGAGUGCAAGAGGGGAGAGUGGAAUUCCAUGUGUAGCGGUGAAAUGCGUAGAUAUAUGGAGGAACACCGGUGGCGAAAGCGGCUCUCUGGCUUGUAACUGACGCUGAGGCUCGAAAGCGUGGGGAGCAAACAGGAUUAGAUACCCUGGUAGUCCACGCCGUAAACGAUGAGUGCUAGGUGUUAGACCCUUUCCGGGGUUUAGUGCCGUAGCUAACGCAUUAAGCACUCCGCCUGGGGAGUACGACCGCAAGGUUG
RNAcentral lists this ribosomal RNA (550 nucleotides) under uncultured bacterium. RNAcentral's name for it is "bacterial SSU rRNA". It matches the Rfam family "Bacterial small subunit ribosomal RNA", at positions 355 to 896 of the family's 1533-position model. The record is from RNAcentral. RNAcentral also lists the same sequence under 1 other name.